RNAcentral lists this ribosomal RNA (1279 nucleotides) under metagenome. RNAcentral's name for it is "bacterial LSU rRNA". It matches the Rfam family "Bacterial large subunit ribosomal RNA", at positions 1600 to 2910 of the family's 2925-position model. The record is from RNAcentral.
UAGGGGUUCCUGGAAAUAGCCCUCCACAAGACCGUACCCUAAACCGACACAGGUGGACUGGUAGAGAAUACCAAGGCGCUUGAGAGAACCACAUUUAAGGAACUCGGCAAAAUACCUCCGUAAGUUCGCGAGAAGGAGGCCCCGUUGGCACGCAAGUGUUGGCGGGGGGCACAAGCCAGGGGGUGCCGACUGUUUACUAAAAACACAGGGCUCUGCGAAGCCGUAAGGCGACGUAUAGGGUCUGACGCCUGCCCGGUGCCGGAAGGUUAAAAGGAGAUGUGCAAGCAUUGAAUUGAAGCCCCGGUAAACGGCGGCCGUAACGAUAACGGUCCUAAGGUAGCGAAAUUCCUUGUCGGGUAAGUUCCGACCUGCACGAACGGCGUAACGACCUCCCCGCUGUCUCAAAUGUGGACUCAGCGAAAUUGAAUUGUCUGUGAAGAUGCAGACUUCCCGCGGUUAGACGGAAAGACCCCAUGCACCUUUACUAUAGCUUCGCACUGGCAUCAGGAUUGUGAUGUGCAGGAUAGGUGGUAGGCAUUGAAACCGGGACGCCAGUUCCGGUGGAGCCAUCCUUGAGAUACCACCCUUCGCACUCUUGAUGUCUAACCGCGGCCCGUUAUCCGGGUCCGGGACCCUGCGUGGUGGGUAGUUUGACUGGGGCGGUCGCCUCCCAAAGAGUAACGGAGGCGCGCGAAGGUUGGCUCAGAGCGGUCGGAAAUCGCUCGUUGAGUGCAAUGGCAGAAGCCAGCCUGACUGCAAGACUGACAAGUCGAGCAGAGACGAAAGUCGGCCAUAGUGAUCCGGUGGUCCCGAGUGGAAGGGCCAUCGCUCAACGGAUAAAAGGUACGCUGGGGAUAACAGGCUGAUGAUGCCCAAGAGUCCAUAUCGACGGCAUCGUUUGGCACCUCGAUGUCGGCUCAUCUCAUCCUGGGGCUGGAGCAGGUCCCAAGGGUAUGGCUGUCCGCCAUUUAAAGAGGUACGUGAGCUGGGUUUAGAACGUCGUGAGACAGUUCGGUCCCUAUCUGCCGUGGGUGUAGGAUACUUGAGAGGAGUUGCCCCUAGUACGAGAGGACCGGGGUGAACGUUCCACUGGUGGACCAGUUGUCGUGCCAACGGCAGUGCUGGGUAGCUAUGAACGGACAGGAUAAACGCUGAAGGCAUCUAAGCGUGAAGCCCCCCUCAAAACAAGGUAUCCCUUGAGAGCCGUGGAAGACCACCACGUCGAUAGGCCGGAGAUGUAAGUGCAGCAAUGCAUUCAGUUGACCGGUACUAAUGGCUC